This is a long non-coding RNA of Scylla paramamosain (green mud crab), 2399 nucleotides long. RefSeq lists it as uncharacterized. The record is from RefSeq and is a predicted model, not a curated record. The transcript is spliced from 4 exons. Lineage: Eukaryota; Metazoa; Arthropoda; Malacostraca; Decapoda; Portunidae.
UGGGUGGUGGAGAAAAUAGCGUUUUAUUUAUUUAUUCAUUUAUUUAUCUUCUUCCUGACCUCUUCUCCACUCAAGUAAACUAUAUCAUGUCCCACCAAUUCUCUCUCUCUCUCUCUCUCUCUCUCUCUCUCUCUCUCUCUUGAAGUUUUCUAUUAUUUUUUCUCAAAUUAAAGAGGGGUGGUGGAGUUUGACCUCUCUAUACCUCACCUGCCUAUCAAUGAAACUUUUGAAUGGAGUUUACUUUAGGAGAUACUAGCAGGUUAGGUGGUCACAAAUAUACCUCUCCUAGCUGAAUUUACCGAGUAAUUGAAAUAACUAUGUUUUCAGUUUGGUCUCCCACACACACACAGACAAAAUUAAGUCUUUAAAAAUACGAUAUAAUUGCUAAUAUCUUCUGUGGAGUAGGUAAUGUAGGCUUCACACAUAAACAAACUUGAGUCUUUAGAGAAUAAGUUAUAAUUCCUAAUAUCUUGUGUGGGAAAAUGUUUUGGAUUCAUUUUAAUUAAGUCAUCCUCACCCAUAAAAACAAAGUUGAGUUAGAGGAUAUGAUAAACAGAUUACAUGAAGCAUUUAUCAGACUGAAAUGUGUUAGGCUUGAAUAUUGUAAAAUGUUUUGGGACCGUAAGUAAAGCAGAUAUGUAAAGCCAGGAGUGUUCUAGAGCAAACAGUUUUUAUCUUAAGUACAGCCACUGGGAUUAUGUGUGUAAUGAAAAUUUGUAGACCAAGAAAUUCCCCCAUCCACCCAAAUAAAAAAAUAAAAAAGAUUUAUAUAAUUGGAUUGGUUCAUCAUUAACACUGUCACUAAAGCAUUACAAAAUAAGAAAAUGAGAAAUUAAUAAUGGGAAAAAUACGAAAAAAGGCCAGAGAUAAAUGCUAACAUAACCAUAACAAAGAAAAUAUUUAAGCCCGCGGUCUCUUCCCCUUGUAAGUCACGUAGCGCAAGGUCAGAAAUGGCUUGGCUUCAAAAUGUGGCUUUUUUUUCCUGCUCCCUCCUUCAGCUGCACUUUUCCCGCGACACACUUCAGUCACAAGAUGAAUGCAGUCAGCUACAGCAUGACAUAGACAAGCUAUAGACAGUUGAGAGAGGAAGAAGUCAGUGGCACCCUCACCUCAGACAAGACAAAGCUAACAAUUGAUAAUGAAAGACACACUUCAGUCACAAGAUGAAUGCAGUCAGCUACAGCAUGACAUAGACAAGCUAUAGACAGUUGAGAGAGGAAGAAGUCAGUGGCACCCUCACCUCAGACAAGACAAAGCUAACAAUUGAUAAUGAAAGACACACUUCAGUCACAAGAUGAAUGCAGUCAGCUACAGCAUGACAUAGACAAGCUAUAGACAGUUGAGAGAGGAAGAAGUCAGUGGCACCCUCACCUCAGACAAGACAAAGCUAACAAUUGAUAAUGAAAGGUGACAUUAUUCUCUUUAAAGGACUCUAUUAUUAUUGUACCCAUGAAAGCUGUUCUAUUUUUUAUUUAUUUCUCUGUAUUAUAAGUAUUUUGUAUGUAAACUCCGAUCACAAUCUCAUAUCUUUAUCUUGUCCUAUCACUCCAAUCCCUCCUCAGGAUCCCCCUAAGUGAAGGUGCCUCUGGCGUUUUGCCUCUGCUAGUUGGGGGGACCUGAGGAGGUAUUUUGCUGAUUUUCCUUGGAAUGACCACUGCUUCCGUGUCAGAGAGCCGUCUUUGUGUGCUGAGCGCAUAACAGAGGUGAUAGUGUCUGGCAUGGAGGCGUACAUUCCUCACUCUUUUUCUUGCCCUAAACCUUCUAAACCUUGGUUUAACACAGCUUGUUCUCGUGCUAUACAUGAUAGAGAGGUGGCCCACAAAAGGUACUUAAGCCUUCCAUCACCAGAAUCUCAUGCACUUUAUAUUUCUGGCUGGAACCAUGCCAAGUCUGUUCUCCAACUAGCCAAAAACUCCUUCAUUAACAGAAAAUGUCAAAACCUUUCAAGAUCUAACUCCCCUCGUGAUUUCUGGCAUCUAACCAAAAAUAUCUCCAAUAACUUUGCUUCUUCUUCUUUCCCUCCUCUAUUUCAACCAGAUGGCACCACUGCUAUCACAUCUAUUUCUAAAGCUGAACUCUUCACUAAAACCUUUGCUAAAAACUCUACCUUGGAGGAUUCUGGGCUUGCUCCUCCCUCUCCUCCACCCUCUGACUACUUCAUGCCACCUAUUAAAAUUCUUUGCAAUGAUGUCUUCCAUGCCCUCGCUGGCCUAAACCCUCGGAAGGCUUAUGGACCUGAUGGGGUCCCUCCUAUUGUUCUCCAAAACUGUGCCUCCGUGCUUGCACCUUGCCUUGUCAAACUCUUUCAGCUGUGUCUGUCAACAUCUACCUUUCCUUCUUGCUGGAAGUUUGCCUACAUUCAACCUGUUCCUAAAAAGGGUGACCGUUCUAAUCCCUCA